Heterocephalus glaber (naked mole-rat) is the source of this 3845-nucleotide long non-coding RNA. The record is from Ensembl. NCBI's taxonomy places the organism in Eukaryota, Metazoa, Chordata, Mammalia, Rodentia, Bathyergidae.
GUUGGAACUGAUUCUUUGCUUUGGUAAAAAGAAAUAUUUUAAUAGAUGAAGGAUGUAUUUCAAAUAUUUUUCCAUUAAUACUUUCACUUUAAGAACCUGCAUUAGCAACAAGUUUAGACUUCAUAUGCAGAGUAAAAAGCUAUUACUUUUAUUUUUCUUUGGUUCCAGGGAUUGAACUCAGAACCUUGUGCUUUCGAGGCAGGCGCAGUGCCACUGAGCUAAAUCCCUAGCCCAUAAAGCUAAUUCUUGUUAAGUGAAUGUUAUAAACAUUAGGUUCAACUUACUGUCUUUCCUCUACAUACCUACUGUAAUGCUGAAGAUGGUAGAGAUGUUAUUUUCCACACUUCCUGCUGAGCAGUAGUCCUUUAAAUAUAGGCAGAGCUAUUUAGUUUAAGGAGGAGAGAGACUUAAUCUAUAUCUGCUCAGCUUUGGAGGAAGGGGGGAACAAACCACUAAGGUAUUGUCUGUAUUUUAAGAUGCUUUGCAUACUUAAAAAUGCUUUUUCUUUCUGAAGAAUUAACAUUUCUUGUUUCAUUGUCAAGUUGGUCACAAGAGUUGUUGACAUGAGUUCUUUGGUGGGGUGGGGAAGAAAAAUACAAGGAAGGAAAACCAAAUGAUGGGGAACAAUGGUAUGCUAGAAUAAGAGAUACAGUAUUUCACCUAUCAAGCAUUUAAAAAUCAUUGAAAUUCAAGUCAUUCUACAAUCUUCCCUUGUCUUACUAACUGUUCUUGUGUAUAGGGAUUCUUUUCUUAUUAAAGGGGAAGUCAUGAGAGAUGGGAGGAUAGGGGCCAUACUGGUGGGAAAUCCCAAGAAAUGUGGCACCCUCAGAAGGGGUGUUCUUAGCCCUUUUCCACAGAGAAGGAAAGACAUUUUGGGAACAUGUUCCAUGACGCAUUGAUUGUAUCUGUUAGAAGACAUAUGGGCCUGUUGGGUUGGCAUCAACUCAGAGAGGGUUAGGCACCCAGUCCCCUGGCCCCUUUAAUUACCUCUUUAAAAUAUGAUUAAGCCUUUUUGGCUGAGGCUUGCCAGGGAAAGGUUUUCUAAGUGGCUUCAUUUAUUUUUUUAAUUUUUAAAUUUUUCCUUGGAAGAAGUACUAGUCAUAAAGUGUUUUCUUUUGUUUUUGUUCAUUUUUCCAUAUAAAAAUGCCCCUAAGAGAUUAAAGCACUUAAGUAAUUGCUGUCUGCUUACAAACUAGCAAACCAGCUAAAACAGGAGACUGCUACUGUUGUCUGGUUGCUUUUCAUCCUUUCAGUUCCUUUGACAGAUUACUUCUUAGGCUCUUAAGUUUGUGCCAACCCUGUGCUGGAUUGUGGAGAUUCAAAGAUGGAAAGAUAGUCCUUGAUCUUCAGGAACUCAGUGUCCAGUGGAAUAUAUUUGAAUGUAUGUGUAGUUGGAGAUUGUGUUAAUGGUCUUAAAAAAGGCCAUUUCUUUUAUAACAGUGUUCUUCAAUGGUCUUGUUUAGGAUGCCCUAUACCUAGCAGGCUGCCUUGAACUUUUUAUAGAGACCCACCAGUAUUUAUGAAAUUGAUCAUAACAUUGCUUUCUAUUCCCUAAGUAAUUUUACCAGGGGAGAAUGAAUCUUCUCCUGUAGUAAUUAUGGAACAAUAUAACUUCUCUUCAGGAGCAGCUUUUAGUUCAAGCACCAAGAAAUGAGGCAGGUUUAGAUUGCUGACAUGGUCACAGGUGGUCCACCCCUUAUUUUAGUAACCACCUAAUCUCUUCCCCAUCCUGACCUCUCAUUAGAGCUGGUAGCAACUUGGGAUUUCUUUCCUUUUUACUGUUGGCUCUUCAUUGCAGUGGAAGGCCAGCAGGAAGCAGGAGGAAGAAAAAUAAAGGCUACAUUAUAAUCAUGGUAUAUUCCAGCUAGAAUAGCAUGGAAACUAUCAAACUUCCUCUAUCCCUCUUUUUUUUUCUUUCUUUUUUUUUUAAACAAAUGAUGAUCUGGUGCCCUGUGUACUAUUUUAUGUGUAGUGUUUUGGGGCCUGAAUAAAUAAAGUUAUGCAUGCAACACGAUUUGCAAAUGAAGGGGACACCCAAAUUAAAAGGAACUUUUAAAAGUAGCUCACUCUUCUGAUUUUCUUCAGUUAAAAUGCACCCAUAUUCCCUGAAUAUAUAUGCUCAGGUAGAGAAAAGCCCCACAGUGGAAUACAAAGGUAUAAUCCUGAGAAGGGACAUAUUUUGGUUACGAUUGCCAUUUUAAUUACCAAUGGUUAAAAGCUAGCGAGCCAUUGAUUUUUUUUUUUUUUUUCAAAAUUGGAAACUCGUUUGGGUCUUAAAUCUUUUGUUAGCCUUUCCCCUGUCAGCCCAUACAUGGUUUUUUGGCCUGGUCAGUAGGUUGAACGUGGCUCAUUAUGUAUUUUGGGGACCCAAGAGAAAGCAGGUCUAUGGGGAGGUGGGAGCAGAUUCUAGGGAAUGAGGCUGCUGAUUAGAAUUAAGGUGGCCCAGAAAUGCAUCUUUACACAUGUGCAUCAUCCACUAUAGCUUUCUGAAUAUUUGUUCUGUACAGACUUAGAGAUAUGCAGAGCUCACCAGUUUAGAGAUUAAUCAAAUUAGAUGAAGGAAAAAGUGCCAAAACCUAAUAUGCAGAUUGUUCUAUGUAUUAUCAGUAUUUUUUCUAAGAAAAGUACUCUCUUCUUUGUGAGUACAUGCUUCCUUAAUAUCUUGCCAAGAAGGUGGCAACUUUUAAUUAUGUGAGAGGCAACCUCAAACUCUGAGCAGACUCCCUCCCUAUCUUUUUUCUGGCUUAAGAAAGACAUGGACAUAGCCAAGGCUAGGCAAGGCUUGUUCCUCUUUCUUUCAUUUUAUUUAAUAUGAGGUACAGACAAUGCACUCUUCAAAUAUAAAGCCCUUAACAGCUCAAGAGUAGCUUGUGGCCCUGGUUCCAGAUUAAUGUGGCAGCAUUUGGCUUCUCCCUGGUUGACGCUGCCUCCCCUCCAAGCUGUGCACCAGUGUGAGUGGGGCUCUCACUCUCAGUCAGGUUUGUAUCAGACAUGAUAAUCACUAACCUUGAGCCUCCCAGCAGAGCACUUAAGUCCUAGUAAGAGAAUAGGUACUAUGCAAGGGGAAAAAUGAUUAUUUUAAAUGCCAACUAAUAGAUUUUUUUCCUUUUAUGCCUGAUGUGCUGUUUACUCAGUUCUUUGUAUAAUACAGUUGUCCAAAGGGCCUUUGCCCCUUCUGCCUAGAAAUAGAAAAUGGUUGUCUAUUGGCUUUAUUUAACCUGCUGUGGCUCCCUGGUGAUCUAGUGGUUACAAUGUAUACAACCUGCUGUCUACAAUAGAAUUGGAGAAGAGGCCUGGAUCCUUGGGGACUACCACUUCAGGCUGCCACUUCUCCAACUCAUUAUAAAGAUAAUUUUGACAAAGAUUUGGAAAAGGCCAUGCCCUAUCAGGAUGCUUCUGCCACAAUGAAAUGGUGUGGAAUCAAGUGGGAUGAUGUGUUGUUUAUUUACAGUACCAAAGUGCAUUCUUCAAUGUGUAUUUGCCUGCUUGAGGCAAGGCCCAAGUUGAGAAUACAGUAAAGCAAAUUCAUGAAAGAAAAUGUUGUUUCUAAACAAAUUCUUGUCUCUAAAGAACAGUCUCAGACAAACAUGGGAUAAGCUUAGACUGUGUGUUGUUUGACUUUUAGUGCUAUCUUUAUGCUGGGGAAUACCUUCGAAUGACCUUCUUUGGCCUUCAGAAUGGUGGGAGAUAUUAGGAAGUGGGAUAGAAUUUAUAUACACAGUGUACAAUUACAUCUUUUAAUGUAAGUUAUCUACAGUUUACUGUCAUCCUUAUAUUCAUAUUCCUAAUAGAGGCACCAAGAAAAUUUGAGUAAAGAAUGAAUAUGGAUGACACUGUCCCUUGCA